Long non-coding RNA from Dermacentor andersoni, 10827 nucleotides. RefSeq lists it as uncharacterized. The record is from RefSeq and is a predicted model, not a curated record. NCBI's taxonomy places the organism in Eukaryota, Metazoa, Arthropoda, Arachnida, Ixodida, Ixodidae.
GUCUUGAGAUAUAAGCCUUGUGGCGUCCCCAUGUUGGGCUUGGUGGUGGGCGGCUGGCGCUGCUGCCGAAGACUAAUGCUUUUUAUGGCUACUCCUUCCAUUUCCCUAACUGAUCGUCCUCCAAAAAGGGGGCGCAACGAAGCAACCACUCGAUUUUUCUUCAAGAGCUACGACAACUUUGCGAAGUACCAUGUGAUCCACAGUGACGGCAAUCUAACAGCCAGAAAACUAUCUCCCUUCAAAGUGCCUAAGAGGCACAUUAGGCACAGGAUUUAAAGCUACAAGGAUGGCUAGUGGCGACAUCCUUCUGGAACUGAAAGAGAAAGAGUAACUUAAAAAGCUUUCAGACCUCAAGUUCAUUGGUGACAUAGUAGUAACUGUCACGGCACACCGUUCGAUGAACAGUGUUCUUGGGGUAAUCUCUGAUGAAGACAUGCUUGACCUUAGUGAUGAAGAAUUGCUUGAAAGUUUUGCAGAACAAAAUGUGACCGAAGUUCAAAGAAUCAUGAUCGUCGGAAUGACACUGAAAUUCCCACAAAACAUGUAAUUCUAACAUUUGGCUCCACCACACUACCAGACUCAGUCGAAGCAGGCUAUGUGAAAAUCCAUGUGAGGCCUUAUAUCCCCAAUCCUAGACAUUGUUUCAAAUGCCGGAGGUUCGGGCACAGCUCUCAGACAUGCAGAGGAAAGCUAACGUGUGCCAAAUGCAGUUCUAACGAUGAUACAUCUGAUAAUUGUAAUGCUUAAUCACACUGCACGAACUGUGAAGGGGAUCACCCUGCAUUCUCACGGUCAUGCCCAAUCUGGAAAAAAGAGAAAGAAAUUAUUGCCCUUAAGAUCAAUGAAAACAUCACAUUCUCUGAAGCGCGAAGACGACUUACAUUUCCUCACAACCAAAGUUUUGCCGCUGUGACGAGGCAGGGGGCACUCUCACAACAAUCUAAAGAGCCCGCCCUGGUCACACGCAGUGAACCACGGGGGAUUUUUUCUGCCCCCACAGAGGCAGCACCCAGUGCUGCCAAAUCCAACAACACGCAGACCUUGCUCUUGCAGAGCUGCGUUACUGUGCAAGAACUGAGGCCUGAGACACGUCUCCCAGAGCCUCGUGACCCCGCCUCCACCGCCUCUGAGAAGGAGAUGGAGGUUGACGCAAGUACAUCGGUGCCAGCGGCACCAAAAGACAAGCGCAGCUUGCUUGAGGGAUGUAAAAAAGAAAAAAAACCCUCAAAUAAUUCCACCAAAACCAAAAUAACAUUAUCACUCUACACAGAACACUCCCAAAAACACCUUUGUCAUAAUGGGUGUUCAGAUAUUGCAAUGGAAUGCCAGAGGGCUUUUGCAUAACCUAGAUGACGUCAAAGAAUUGUUAUCUAUGUAUAAGCCUAGAGCGUUCUGUGUUCAGGAGACGCGCUUAAAAUCAAGUGACUCGAACUUUCUAAAUCAGUUUGGAAUUUUUUGGAAAGACCGUGAUGAUGGACAUGCUGCAUCAGGUGGCGUGGCAAUAAUAUUAUCAAAGACUGUUGCAUGCCAAAAUCUCCAACUUAACACACCUUAUGAAGCAGUAGCCGUACAAGCUAUUUUGCUUAAUAGGCUUAUUACUGUAUGCUCUUUGUACAUUCCACCAUACAAGCGGCUCGACAUUACUGAGUUUGAAAAACUAAUAGACUAGCUUCCUGAGCCGUAUAUUGUGGCUGGUGAUUUUAAUGCUCAUAGUGGACUCUGGGGGGACUCAUGCUGUGAUGCAAGAGGCCGGGUAAUUGAAAAAUUUCUUCUAUCCUCUGCAGCAUCCCUGUUUAACAAAAAGUUCCCGACUUAUUAUAGCACUACAUAUAACACCUACUCCUCAAUAGAUCUGGCGGUUGGUUCUGCAACACUUCUGCCAUGGUUUGAAUGGAGAGCUCUCACAGACUCCUUUGGAAGCGACCAUUUUCCAGUUCUCUUAGAGCCGAUACAUACGUGUGACCCACCUGUAUAUCCAAACAAAUGAGAGCUAAAUGCUGCAAACUGGGCAGAAUUCAAAGAGCUCGCAUGUAUGUCCCUUGAAUCCGUAAGGCAGCUUGGUAUUGAUGAAAUGACCGCCUAUAUAACUGAACACAUCAUCCAUGCCACGAAACAAUCAAUACCACAAACCUCUGGUAAAAUAGUGAAUCCUAAGCCCUGGCGGAAUGAAGAGUGCAAGUAAGCACGAAAAGAACAAAACAAAGCAUGGCGUACAUUUUCCAAAUAUCCAACAGAAGAGAACCUUAUAAAUUUCACACAUGCAAAAGCAAAUGGAAGACGUAUUCGUUGGGAGGCCAAGAGAGCUAGUUGGAGAAAUUAUAUCGGUUCAAUAAACUCAUACAAAGAUAUCCAGAAAGUGUACAGUAGGGUUCAAAGGCUGAAGGGGAAUACCACACUACCCUUGCCCGUGGUAGAUGACUGUGCUACUACAUUAGAAGGGCAAGCAGAUUUUUUGGGCGAACACUUUGAGCCCAUAUCGAGCUGCGCGAAUUACACAAAAGCAUUCCUAACAUAUAAAAAAUUAGCUGAGUCAACACCCUUCUCCUUCCUAAAAUCCCAUAGCGAUGGGUGCAAUUGCCCAUUCACGAUGCAAGAAUUAAAAAUAGCUUUGCACAACUGAAAAAACUAUGCGCCAGGAUUAGACAGUAUUAAUUAUGAGAUGGUCAAUUAUUUACCCGAAGAAACACCUGAAUGCCUUUUAUACCUGUUCAAUAAAAUUUUCUGCAGUGGUCAAUUGCCGUCCUGUUGGAAGGAAGCUAUUGACAUGUGGUACUUAUCUUUAUCUAGCGACCACGUUUCGCCGCCUAACAAAAGUUAUCGUACAGCGCGGGACGCGCCUGCAUGUAUCCGAAGUUUCUGGAAAGUUAUUGAUGCUUCUAUCCGCUUUCUGUUGUCGCCGAACCUUAAGUCAUCUGAUUUCAUCGCCUGACGCAAAUGGUGUAUAACUUUGUGGAAGGCACGCGGGCCCGAACGUUUAGUCUGGAACAUUCGACGAUUGAUGUAUAAAAGCCGACGCGCUUGACCCGUUGAUCAGAUUUUCGCCGAUCGCCGACCGUGUUCGCCGCUAUCGUUGUGCUAUAAGUGUAGCCUGUUUUUGUGGGCACAGGUUCGUCCAAUAAAAGUUGGUUUUGUCUUUCACAGUAUUGCUGCUGUGUUCUUCAACGUCACCACCAUGUGACACUAUAGUAGUACCAAUAUUAAAGCAUGGAAAGGCCCCUCCUGUGUACAGAGCUACAGACCUAUCGCUCUAAGAAGCUGUGUAUGUAAAGUGUUUGAAAAAAAUGACAAACUGCCGAUUAAUGUACUUCUUGGAAUACAAUGGAAUUCUGGAUCCCCGCCAAGCCGGUUUUAGACCAGGAAGGUGCACAACAGAUAGCCUAGUCCUACUUGAGAGUUAUAUAUGAGACGCAUUUAUUCAUAAGCAAUACUGUCUAUCAGUAUUUGAUCUCUAAAAAGCUUAUGACACUACCUGGAGGUAUGGCAUACUGCAAGGACUCGCGUCGUAUGACGUGUCAGGCAACAUGUUUAACGUAAUAAAAAGCUACCUGUCCGAACGAAAGUACAGACUAAGGGUGGGAACUGCAAUGUCGAGAGUCUUUGUGCAAGAAAACGGUGUACCACAAGGAGGAGUGCUCAGCUGUACACUAUUCUUAGUUAAAAUGAACACACUACAAAAAACACGCCCACCAUUUAUAUCCUACUCAGUCUAUGUAGAUGAUAUACAGAUAAAUUUUAAAUCAUGCAAUCUGUUCAUAUGCGAGAGGCAGAUUCAGCUGGGAGUGAACAGGCUUUCAACAUGGGCUGACAAGAAUGGCUUUCGCUUUAAUGAAGAAAAGACGACAUGCUUGUUAUUUUCUCGGAAAAGAGGCAUGCAUCCUGAACUGAAUAUUACGAUGAACGGAUAUGUGCUUAGUGUAAAAAAGGAGCAGUAAUUUCUUGGCGUUAUAUUGGAUGAUAAGCUCUCGUUUGUACAACAUAUAAAAACAUAAAAAUGAAACGUUUAAAAAAUAUGAACAUCCUCAAAAUUCUUUCGCACCAGUCAUGGGGAACUGACAAGAAAUGCGUGCUCUCGCUCUAUAACAGUUUGAUUAGAACAUAUAUUGAUUACGGGAACAUCGUUUACCAAUCAGCUUCACGUUCUGUUUUAAAAAUUCUGGAUCCUGUACAUAACCUUGGCAUGUGACUAGCCCUAGGUGCAUUCCGUACUAAACCCUGUUGCAAGUUUGCACGUACUAGAAGCUAAUCAGUGGAACCUAGAUAGACAACGUAAGUAUUGUAGUUUUAUGUACGUACUUAAGAUUAGUUCCAACUGAGAACACCCAUGUUACAAAAUGAUGAAGAGCACAGAAACGCAAACCCUCUUUGCAAAGCGGCCAACGUUAGCAAAGCCAUUUCUACUGAAAGCAUCGUCGCUAUGUCAAGAGAACAACGUAUUGCUGUCGGACGUUCACCUGCAUAACACUAACGAGUUAGUAGCACCAUGGGAAUCAGUCACCAUACAUUGACUUCUCAUUCACAGAAACAAACAAAAAGCAUACACCCCAAGAAGCUGUAGAGCAACACUUCUUAUCACUACAGAGUAAGUACAAGUGUCCAGAAUUUUACACUGAUGCUUCAAAAACUGCUGAAACAACAUCAUGUGCUGCAAUUGGUCCAGAUUUUGUAGCCCAUUUAAGAUUAAACAAAUACACAAGUAUCUUUACUGCUGAAGCCCAUGCUAUACUCCUUGCAGUUAAAGAAAUAACAAAACAGAUCUAUCAAUCGAUAAUAUAAACAGAUGCCUUAAGUGUGGUCCGCUCGAUACACCUAGAAAAACAAAGAAAGAAUCCGGUGAUAAACACUCUCAUUAGCAGCUUAUCCUUAGCCUACAAGAGAGGGCUACAUAUUAUAAUCUGCUGGGUACCGGGCCAUACUAGUAUACCUGGUAAUGAAGCGGCAGACGCAAAUACGGCUUUAACAGGUCUAAGGCCCCAAAUAGACGUAAGUUAUGUUCCAUAUACAGAUAUGAAACCUGUCGUUCGAGGAAUACUGCGUCAUGCAUGGCAAGAAGCUUGGGAUGCAGAAAAUAAUAACAAACUUCACAUCAUCCAAUCCUACAUUACCCAAACACCCGUAUACCGGCAUAGACAGGAGGAAGUAAUCAUGUCGAGACUGAGGAUAGGACACACACAUGCAACACACUCAUACUUGCUAACGGGUACUGAUCCGCCGGUCUGCAUUAGAUGUGGAAGUCAACUCACAGUCAUACAUGUUCUUAUACAAUGCCCUGGCAUGGAAGCCACGCGAAAAAAUACUUUCCUGAACUUUACCGUAGCAAUUUACCUAUGCACCCUGCAUUUUUCCUAUCGGCUGAGCCGAUGUUCCCCCUCGACCGGCUGUUAAGUUAUCUUAAUGAUGUGAACUUUUUGAAGAGUAUAUCUUACCGAUUUUAAACUCAUCUUCCCUACGCUACCCGAAAUCCUACAUAAUCAUCCUAAAUUCUCUCAAGGCCCCAAAUUAAUUAGAAGUUAUUUGCAGUACAGGUAUCAGACCGUUGUCGUAGGUAACAACUGUUCAAAAAAUUUGCCUAUAUUCGCUGGAGUUCCUCAAGGAAGCAUACUAGGACCACUAUUGUUUAACCUGUAUAUAAAUGACAUAACUAAUAUCAAUACCAACGCCCAAUUUGUUAUCUAUGCCGACGACACUAGUUUGUUCAUAACUUCUAAGGACGUGAAAGAAUUACUAUGUGUUGCUAAUGAUACACUAGCCCAAAUAAACAAGUGGAGCUUAUUCAACUCAUUAACUAUUAAUACUACCAAAACAAAAGGCAUGCUUUUCCAGCCAAAAAACAAGAGGCACAGUAUUGACGGACAUCUAAAAAUAGGCACAUCUUUCAUUGACAUAGUACCAUCGGUUAAAAGCUUAGGUGUCAUAUUCCAAGAGAAUAUGCUGUGGAAUGACCAUGUCAACACUAUUGCUAACAAACUUGCAUUAGGCUUCCUUUUACCAUUAAGAGUGAAGCUCCUACUUUAUAAUUCUCUUUUCUUAUCUCAUGUUAACUAUUGUCACCUCGUAUGGGGCAACACGACUAGCAGUAACAUCAACAUUCUAUAUUUAUUGCAAAAGAAAGCCAUCCGUGCAAUUUCAAAGUCUUCAUUCGAUGCGCAUACUGAUCCUCUUUUUUGUCAAUUAGAUAUAGCGCCGAUAAAAUCGGUCUACAAUACAAUUUUGCUGAAACGCUUUUUUACAGAAAGAAAAGGUAGCACUCAUUUUCUUGUGCACUUGUCAAGGCUAACACUAAAUACAAGCAGUCUCAGUACACGUCACAGAGAAACUUGGCAUAUUCCGCACUCAAGAACUAACUACGGGAAUCAAAUGCUGCGCCAUGAACUACCAUCUCUACUUAACUCGUUUCAUUAAUCACCCUACUUAUCUUCAUUUCAAUUGGGUGGCCAAACUUGCCACUCAUAUUGGCAUUCACGGGAAUGCUUAGUGUUUUUCUUUGUGUUUUGUUCUGAUGUAUACGUGUUCUAAACUGUAAUUGCACAGUGACCUAUUUAGUUCUGCAUUUCUGUGAAUGUUACCCGUAAAUGAAAAGGGAUUCAUAAUGUCUGCAUUUUGUUGUUUUCCUGUUCGUGUUUUUCGUAACUUGUAUGACAAUACCAUAUCUGCAUUCAUGUCAAUUUUUUCGCCGCAGUGCGAAGUAACUUUGUAUAAAUAGUCCCAUUUAUCCACAUAUUGUUUAUAUUUUUUAUUGUUCAUCUUGUAUUUGUGCACGCAUUGCUACGUGAUGCCAAAGAAACCAAUAAGGGACACAGACCUAGUCAAGCCGAUUUUAUGGCUUUUUGUCUGUGCCCCUGCUAUCUGUACGUUGUAUAGAUACAAAUAAAGUUCAAAUAAAUAAAGUUCAAAGUUCAAAUGCAAGCCUUAUGUUUUUUAAUUCCUAGGCCUUUACAGCCACCGCAGUACAUCACAGGCAUUGCAACCCAUUAUACCCGCUGUCAUGUUUAUAACAUUCUACCGCACUACUAAACAUUGUUGCUGGCGCUCUUUGGCCGUUGUAGCCCUUGCGCCAUAAAACACUAAUUAAUAAUAAUAGGGAGUGGAUAGUCUGCCGGCAGUUCUGCUCAAGACUUUUUCACCAUUUUAGGCUGACUUUGGUCAAGUUUAUACAUUUGGAUGUAUAUAUUAUGCUGAUCCACCUAAGCACAAUGUACCCAUUUGGGAGAUCAGGAAUCUGGUGGAGUUAGCAUGCACAGUUCACACUUAUGCAGAGAAAAUGUUUUUGGUACAAUACAUAGUGCAAGCAUUUAGAAAGACUCGACGCAAUGAAGAAAAUGAACAAUCUUUAUUAACUGAGCAAACUAAUUAUUGCUGGCAAUACCCCCUUCACAUGCCACUUCAUUCUGUCCAUUGAAAAUUUAGUUUCACCACUACUUUUAUACCUACGGAGGCAUGAAAAAAGUACAGCCGCAAAAUGGAUUGGGAAUUUGAAAGUUCCUUUCACGUUUUGUUAAGUAUAUAACAUGUGAACUUGAUGCGAGAACUCUCCACAGGGAUAUCCGACAUGCAGACAUGAACUAUUUCUUGUCUGGCAUACUUGGAAAGCACCUAUCCACCCACUUGAAAAAUAUGCCUGCUGUAAAACAUUGUGAAAAAUAGUGAAAGGAGUGAAGGCACCACAUGACGACAUACACUGAGAGGAAGCACCUGCCUGUCUGCCUUCCUACUCAUUUUACCAGAACAGUUUAUACAUGUCAUUCAAAUUUGCAGCACAGCUCCAUUCAGAACUGUUUUGCAGAUGUAUGUGAGACAAAAUAUAAUUUUCAUCAGUGCUUCUGAUGUGCUAUCUCUGCGUGUGCAAUUGUUGCACACAAGCUGAAGGAAAGUGCCAGCAUUUCACGCUGAGUGCACUACCUCGGGGGAAAUGGCAUCGCUGGCUCUGUGCUGAGGUUUCCUUCUGUUCUGUUUAUAAUGGUGCCCCCUACCUGCAAAAUUUCAUUUCCCAUUGUUUUCUGUGCUCGCAGUCUCACAUUAUUGCCAUGGCAAGCUGAUGUAGUCGAAUCUCGAUAGUUCAAACUUGAAGGGGCCCGAAAGUUUGUUCCAAUUAAAGGAGUUUGAAUUAGACGGAGCUCAUUGAAUGGAGGAGGAAUUGCGUGGCGCAUGUGCACUGAGCUAACGCGCAAGUGAGGAGUUCUGGAAAGUGGGCUUCACGGCAGCCUGUGCCGCGCUGCUGUAAAGCCACACCUAUGGGCAAAAUUUUUGCUGCUGUGAAGCUGUACCUCAAGGUAACAUUUGCCUUUGACUACUCUUUAAUUGUUUGAAUCUUAGGUGAGCAUGCCGAAAUACGGUUCUUGUAACGGGAAACAGGAGCAGAAACUGGCGCACGGCUGCACUGCCAUGUCGGGGAUGCUGCCGGAUGCGUUGGCCAUGAGUUAAUAUAACCAACUCUAGAGGAAAAGCUGGCCCGAAAAAGUGGGAACCGCUAGGGCGCCGCCCUGUUGCUGCUGGUCAAUGUGGCCAGCGCAGUUACUAUUGAAAGAGCUGAAUCAUAUGGCUGAAUACAAGUACAGGUCACCUCAUGCUUUGUCAUUUAAAAUCGCAUACCUGAUGGCUUUAUGAAGGUUAUACGUUAAUAUUAAGUUUACAGAAAGCGCUUGUUAAGUGUUUGACUUAUGCAAAUCACGAUGUAUGCAUUCAUGCAAUAAAGGAUGACACGAAUUUCGUUUUUGAAUCUUUUUUGAUGCGUAGUAGUUUCAUACAGUUUAGAUUUGACAUGUGAUCACGCGACAUCAGACGCUACGGCACCUUCGUACCUUUUGUGCCGCACCCAACCCCCGAAGAGCUCUAGCAUUUACCUUCACAUGUAAGUAAGCAAAUGUAUCUUCUUGUUAAAAACCUCGCUCGAGUAGAUAGCUCUUGUGAUGCAUCACAAUCGUUUGAGAAGCCUCACAGUAGAGCAUUUUUUUUACAUGCGGAGCGGUGUUUUUAUUUGCAGGUUUCCCUUCAGUAGAAAAUUGCUAGACAGGCGGACCAGCUCACCGGAAUUGCACUGGCGAAUCCACAAGCAAGUCAUAAAAUCUGUUUAAUUGUCGCACUUUGAACGAUCAUGCUUCCACAAAGGCCACAACAGAAAAACAGCCUGAUGCCGAAUAUUUGUGUGCCACAACGCAAUCAAGAGACGUUUUCGCGGUUCCUAGGGAGUCCGAAAAAUUGGACGCUGACUGUACAAUUGUCCAGGAGGAUGCUUCAAAUAGUCCGUGUGGCGAACGCGCUGCAGAAGGAGAACAAAAAGACAAGGACCUAUGCAUUCAGAAAUGAACAGGAAAGGAAGCAUGCUACCACUCUUUUUAAGGGCUUGCACUCUAAAAGCAAAGUGUUGGCUGAUGCCGAGAUGCAGGUGUCCCUCAUCCAAGUAAAAAAACUCUUUAAAACAGUGAAAUGCAACACUGAGGCGUUGUGUGCAAGCUGAGAGUACGUCAGGAGAGUUGAGGUUGACUUACCAGCUGUUGCGAGAUAAACUCACUUGUGAUAAAGUUUGGGCCUCAUACCAAUUAGCUUGCUAUCUGUUGAUAGAAAUAGCUCAUAUUCGAAAAUAUUCUGCAUGCAUCGCUUAUUCGUAUUUGAGAAUGUUUGACUCAAUUUGCCAUGGUUUUUACUAUUUCUUUCAAAGAUAUUUUAUUCGCUGUGCAUUUUACUAACCCCUCCCUACUGUUUUCUUUUUGAAUAAAAUAAACACUAGCCCUUAUUAUUCAAACUGGACUAAGUUUUCUUAUUUAUUUUUUAACAUGCUUACUAGAGGGGGACACCAUUGGGCGAAAUGAUGUAGGGAGCCCGUGUUGACAUAAAACAAUGUUCUGUGUCACUAAGGGAAUAUUGCAAAUGCACUCGAGGAAAACCUGGAAAGCUCAGGAAAUUAGGAAAUGUCAACUUAGUAGACACCCUGAAAAAAACAAUUUAAUGAUGCUCUCUCCACACUGGGACAAAUAAAAAGAAACUGAUCACAUCUAAUGUGGACAUAUCAUGCCUUGUGAAACACUAAAGGAAAAAUUCAGUAUCGAGCUAUGGGACUUGCCGCAUAGAUGUGGGCGGCCUUGUGCCAAUAGUGAUAGUUACCACUGCAUUUAGAAAUUGAAAGUAUUCAUGCAGACAAGGAUGAUUUUUUUAUAUUUUUGGCUGCCACUUCAAAUGCCUUCACCAAGUGUUACAAUGCUGCAUGCAGCCAUACUAAAUAUCUCACUGCAACACCUACAGGUAAAAAGCAAAAGCAGCCAAAGUGCUGGUGCAUUCUGGACACUAUGUUUGAGAACUUUUAGGCAAAAAGAGUGCAAGAAGCAGACAUAAGAACUGCAUUUAUUUCCAUAAUUACCCAUUUGAAUGACCUUUUCUUUUUGCUUAGACAAUGCCUAGGCCUAGCCACAGCAGCUCUCUCAUGCAGACUCCACAACCCAAGAGACCGUGGAGGCAAAUGCAAGCAGCCAGCACACCACGAACAGCCACCCUGACUGCGGGUGUGUCACCCUAGUCGCCAAAGAAGCAUUUGAGGGAAAGCGACAGGCAAUGUGAACAGCCACUUCUCCAUGUAAACGAUACUGUUUCUCUCGGAUGACUCCUACGCCUCACCAUGCCAGCUCAUCUGUGCAGACUCCACCAACAAAGAUGCCACAGAGGCACAUGCAGGUUAGAGGCAAGAAGCAGUGGCCCUGGUGUUGACAUUCACCCAAUUUCUUUCUUUUUCUUACACUGAGGCAGCCAGCACACCUCGAACAGCUACCUUGACUGCAGGUGUGUCAGCAGAUUAAGCUUCAGUAAACUUGAACUUGAUAAUAAACUUGAAGGCAAAUAGGA